RNAcentral lists this ribosomal RNA (494 nucleotides) under uncultured bacterium. Its description in RNAcentral is "bacterial SSU rRNA". It matches the Rfam family "Bacterial small subunit ribosomal RNA", at positions 8 to 518 of the family's 1533-position model. The record is from RNAcentral.
AGAGUUUGAUCAUGGCUCAGAACGAACGCUGGUGGCGUGCUUAUACAUGCAAGUCGAGCGAGGCAGCGAUGCCGAGCGGCGAACGGGUGAGUAACGCGUAAGCAAUCUGCCCCAUAUCAGGAAAUACCCGUGCCAACGCGCGGUUAAUGUCCAGGAGAGUGGCCCUCUGCAUGGAGGGUUGACUAGAGAUUUAUCGGUAUGGGAUGAGCUUGCGUCCGAUUAGCUAGUUGGCGGGGCAACGGCCCACCAAGGCGACGAUCGGUAGCCGGCCUGAGAGGGUGAUCGGCCACAUUGGGACUGAGAUACGGCCCAGACUCCUACGGGAGGCAGCAGUAGGGAAUAUUGCACAAUGGGGGAAGCCCUGAUGCAGCAACGCCACGUGUGGGAAGAAGCAUUUCGGUGUGUAAACCACUGUCAUGAGGGAAUAAGCCGCUUCCGGCGGACCUUGAUGUACCUUGAGAGGAAGCACCGGCAAACUUCGUGCCAGCAGCCGC